RNAcentral lists this non-coding RNA (21 nucleotides) under Caenorhabditis elegans. Lineage: Eukaryota; Metazoa; Nematoda; Chromadorea; Rhabditida; Rhabditidae. The record is from RNAcentral.
UCAGUUUUUAAAUCCCAUAAC